ACACAUGCAAGUCGAACGGGAAAACAGGGGCAACUCUGUGAGUACAGUGGCGUACGGGUGAGUAACACGUGACUACCUACCCUCGAGUGGGGGAUAACCCCGGGAAACCGGGGCUAAUACCGCAUAACAUCGCAAGAUCAAAGGAGCAAUUCGCUUGAGGAGGGGGUCGCGGCUGAUUAGCUAGUUGGUGAGGUAACGGCCCACCAAGGCGAUGAUCGGUAGCCGGCCUGAGAGGGCGCACGGCCACACUGGAACUGAAACACGGUCCAGACUCCUACGGGAGGCAGCAGUGGGGAAUUUUGCGCAAUGGGGGAAACCCUGACGCAGCAACGCCGCGUGGAGGAUGAAGUCCCUUGGGACGUAAACUCCUUUCGACCCGGACGAUAAUGACGGUACGGGUGGAAGAAGCACCGGCUAACUUCGUGCCAGCAGCCGCGGUAAUACGAGGGGUGCGAGCGUUGUUCGGAAUUAUUGGGCGUAAAGGGCGCGUACGCGGUGCGGUAAGUCACCUGUGAAAUCUCCC
This 523-nucleotide ribosomal RNA is filed under the name uncultured bacterium. Its description in RNAcentral is "bacterial SSU rRNA". It matches the Rfam family "Bacterial small subunit ribosomal RNA", at positions 51 to 605 of the family's 1533-position model. The record is from RNAcentral.